Molecule: long non-coding RNA, 4606 nt
Organism: Nerophis lumbriciformis (worm pipefish)
Lineage: Eukaryota; Metazoa; Chordata; Actinopteri; Syngnathiformes; Syngnathidae
Source: RefSeq, a predicted model, not a curated record
AGAGACAUGGCGCACACACCAACACGUCAACAACAGGUAUAUAACACCUGAGAGACAUGGCACACACCAACAAGUCAACAACAGGUAUGUAACACCUGAGAGACAUGGCGCACACACCAACACGUCAACAACAGGUAUGUAACACCUGAGAGACAUGGCACACACCAAUAAGUCAACAGGUAUGUGGUAGAAUAAGAAGUUAUCACAAAAAUCUUUGAUGAAAUGAGUUCCAGGCAAAAGGAGAGGGGCUGUCUUUGAGGCCUACCAAGAGGAAGAAGGCUCGUAAAACUCCACUGUGACUUCAAAACGGACAGAUGUCAGGAUCAGCUCAACUUCCAGACGAACUGUUUUUGAAUAACCAAAGGCAAUGGUGUUUACGACCCACUUCCCUCUGGAGGCAGCUGUGGUCAAGUGGGUGGAGAGAGUCAGGAGGAGUGCAAUUUUUUGGCAGAGCGUGCUGGAGAUACUGUACAAGGAUACAGUGUGUCCAGGCGUGUCUCCUCAUGAGUCCAAAUUGAAUUAUGUCUGUCUAAUUAUUUGCCUCUUGUCUUGUUUAAUAGAUGUCAUCAGUGUUUGAACCUGACAUCUUCUUGGUCCUUUUGAGCCGGAUUCCAACACGUCUGACGAUUCCAGCAAGGGUGAGUGAAACCAGAAAGACCAUGGCAUCCAAAUCCUGAUUGAGGAACUGCUUUUUCUUAAUUCGGGCUGGAAUUGGAAGACUGACGGCAAACCGAGGACAAGAGGAAGGAACGCAGAGUUCAACGUCAUCAACGUUUGAACCUGAGAGACAUGGCACACACCAACAAGUCAACAACAGGUAUGUGUUAGAAUAAUUGUUUAAGUUAUCACAAAAAACUUUGUAAUGAAAUGAGUUCCAGGCAAAAGGACAGGGGCUGUCUUUGAGGCCUACCAAGAGGAAGAAGGCUCGUAAAACUCCACUGACUUCAAAGUGGACAGAUGUCAGGAUCUGCUCAACUUCCAGACGAACUCUUUUUGAAGUAUUUAACGAACCCUUUUUGAACUAUUUAAUGGAACUAUUUUUGAACUAUUCUACGAUUUCUUCUUUAGAAUUCUUCGGUAACCAAAGGCAACGCUGUUUACGACCCACUUCCCUCUGGAAGCACCUGUGGUCAGGUGGGUGGAGAAAGUCAAAUAAAGGAGUGCAAUCUUCUUGGUCCUUCGAGCCGGAUUCCAACACGUCUGACUAUUCCAGCAAGGGUGAGUAAAAUCAGAAGACCAUGGCACCCACAUCUCCCAUUGAGGAGCUGCUUUUCCUGCACCCGGGUUGGAAUUGGAAGACUGACGGAAAACCGAGGACAAGAGGAAGGAACGCAGAGUUCAGUGAGUACGUUUUGAAUUACAAAGAGUGUGUGACUGAGGGUUACGACGCAAAGACAAACCCUGUAAAUCCUAGGCUCUAACAGGUUAAAAGGCCAAAGAAUUAGGACGACUGAGUCCACAUUAACUGAAGUUCAGUAAGAUUCAAACAUUGAUAAUAAGCCAAAUUAAGGACGACGAAGUCCACAAAAUUGAAAAUUAAAACAAGUAGGCCAAUAAAGUGAAGGGCGGUGAAGUCCGCAAGAAAAAUGAAACAGCUGUAAAACAAGUGUGAGAGUGUGUGGGAGUAAUUGCCAUUAGGCUAUCACUCUGUAUUAAAGUUGUGAGAAGUAAAUAGUGGCUAACUGUGGAAGCUUUAUGCAAGACACCUCCACUGGGGAACGAUCUCCAGUAGAAGCGAUGUAUAUCACAAUAAUAAAUGAAACCACUAUCUUAUAACAAAGACAACAAUAAUCCUUAUAAGUUGGGCUCUAUAGGGGACGACAGAUUACUCCAAAUUUACAAAAUGGGAAAAGGGACUAAAAGUCCAAAAGACGAGUUAAAAUGUAAAAACUGGAAAGCAGUAGAAAAAACAAAUCCAGACUUAUGGAAAUUUCUCUGACUGGAUCUGAAAACAUGAAUUUACCGGUUGCCUCAGAGUAGGUGAUGUAUUAAAAAUUGCGGGAAUCAAUAAUACAAAAAUGCGGAAAUAACAAAAAGAAGCUAGCCAGAAUGGGGUGGGAUCACACGGGGUGCUGGAUGAGGAUGGCUCAAAAUAGAGAAGACGGAGAAAGACAGGAGAAAGGGCUAAGAGAUGAAAAGCUUAUGUUUCAUAGAGCUGAAGAUUAUGAGAUUGGGCUCAGAUAGGAGAAGAAAUAGGCAAAUUGUAAGGGGAGACAGUGAGGAUGAGUCAAGUGAGGAAGAAGUACAGACCGAAGCCGACACACACAGCGUUCCAAUAACUACAAAAUGUAGAUCAGCGUUAAAUUACAAAAUCACACUCAUUGUAUGGCGGUGAUUGGAACAACCAACAAUAAGGUCAAAAAGGGACCCAAAGAAACGCAGAUAAUUGAAAUAAAUGGCAAAGAAAUCAAAUUUCUGUGUGACACCAGAGCAUGUGGAAUUACAUGUAGAGAAUAAAAUGACAAAUAGAUGGUAACAUUGAGAUUGUGGGCGGAGAGAGAAAAAGCAAGUAGAAGUUUAGGAAGGAAUGUGAAGAGAAUGGAUUGGGGAAAGAUGGAAAAAGGGAUUUGUAUAACCUUACGUGAAUGGUUUCCAGAAGAGGAGAAUAGACAUAAACCUUGUGUUGCAGUAUAAGGAAGAGAUGGAUAGGAGAUGUGUUUUAAAGGAAAAAGCAAGUUGGAGAAAAGAUGAGAUCACUGCAAACGUGUUUGUUUGUGUGUGUGUAUAUUUCCAGGUACAAAUAGGAUAAAAACCCUGGGGGUUCAAAUAAAUAAAAAAAAAAAAGGAGAAAAUUUCAAAGUACUAAAGUGAGAGGAAAGUAAAAAUAGAUGAAGAAAUGGGGAGAAAUCAAUGCAAAAUGGAAUAAACUAAUGCGUACGACAGAUAAUGUGGGGGUAUUGAAAUAAGAUAUGAAGAAAAUGUAGACUGAAGAGAUAUAUAUAUAUAAACGGAACAAAUAAAAACCUAGAUUAACUAUAAGAGUUGAUAUGUAUAGUUUGAUAAAGUGGGUUACAUGUUUUUUAGCUGAGGAAAGAGAAAAAAGAAAAGCUCUUCAAGUGUUGCUGACCUUUUGCCCUUAGGAGUGCACUCACACACCACUGUGUGUGUACACAAGGAUACAGUGUGUUCAGGCGUGUCUCAUCAGUCCAAAUGGUAUUCUGUCGGUUUAAUUCUUUGCCUCUUGUCUAGUUUAAUAGAUGUCAUCAGUGUUUGAACCUGACAUCUUCUUGGUCCUUUGAGCCGGAUUCCAACACGUCUGACGAUUCCAGCAAGGGUGAGUAAAAUCAGAAGACCAUGGCAUCCACAUCUCCCAUUUGAGGAGCUGCUUUUCCUGCACCUGGGUUGGAAUUGAAGACUGAAGGAAAACCGAGGACAAGAGGAAGGAACACAGAGUUAAGUGAGUACGUUUUGAAUUACAAAGAGUGUGUGACUGAGGGUUACGACGCAUAGACAAACCCUGUAAAUUCUAGGCUCUAACCGGUAAAAACGCCAAUAAGACGUGUGUGUGUCGGGGAAUUUGACAUUGAAAAUAAACCAAAUUAAGUAAAAAUAGAAGAGGCCAAUAUACUGAAGUUAAACUGAGUCCGUGAAAACUGAAAUAUCUGUAAUAUUCAUAAACAAACAUACUGGCGGAGCACACAAUAAAUUGAAAUAUCCGUAAACCAAUAUCUUGAGGGGCGUCGGAGUCCAAAACGCAGAACUAAAAUGGUCUAUUCAGAAAUUUUUCAGUAAAAUAAAAAAUAACCUGAAGGGUGACGGAGCCCACAUGAAACAUUGAAAUAUCCGUGGAUCAAUAUACUGAAAGGUGUGAUUGUGGGAGUAAUUGCCAUUAGGCAAUCACUUUAUGUUAAAGUAGUGAGAAGUAAAUAGUGGGUUACUGUGGAAGCUUUAUGCAAGACAGCUCCACUGGGGAAUUAUCUCCAGUAGAAGCGACGUGUACCACAAUAAUAAAUUAAACCACUAUCUUACAACAAAGACAACAAUAAUCCUUAUAAGUUUGGCUCUGUAGGGGAUGAAGGGUUACUCCAAAUUCUCAAAAUGGAAACAGGGACCCAAAGAAAUGCAGAUAAUUGAAAUAAAUGGCAAAGAAAUCUAAUUUCUGUAUGACAUUGGAGCAUGUACAAUUACAUGUAGAGAAUAAAAGGAAAAAUAGAUGGUAAAAUUGAGACUGAGUGGAGAGAGACAGGAGAAAAAAGCAAGUAGGAGUACAAAUUGUGUAAAAACAUCGGAGGUUCAAAUAUAAAUAGGUUUAAAAAAAAUUAAAUAGGAGAAUAUCUCAGUGCUAAAGUGAGAAGAAAGUAAAAAUAGAUGAAGAAAUGGGGAGAAAUCAAUGCAAAAUGGAAUAAAGUAAUGUGUAUGACAGAGAUAAUGUGGGGGUAUUGAAAUAAUAUAUGAAGAAAAUGUAGACUGAAGAUAUACAUGUAUGUUUGUGUAUAUAAAUAGCACUUUUAUAUACACAAAUGUGUGUGUAUAUAUGUUUGUAUAUAUUGUGGAACAAAUAAAAACCCAGAUUAAUACCGGUAACUAUAAUAAGAGUUGAUAUGUAUAGCAUGAUAAAGUGGGUUACAUGUUUAGUAGCUAAGGAAAGAAGAGAAAAAAACCCCCA